AAAAUUCCAAAUUUUUUUUAAUGCAAAUUUCAUCAUCAUUUCGUGUUGUUCCAUUUUCGCUCUGAAAAAUGAAAAGAGAAGGAAAAUAUAGAAUGAAACUAGAACAGGUUGCUAAUUAGGAUAUCAACGCAUUAACCCUUAUCUUGUUAUCGGAUGUGACAAUGCUGUUUAAAAGUAUAAGAAGAUCCAUUAGAAAUUUUAAUUUAAAUAUAAAUUUUUCAUCUAUUAUGAAUAUGUGACACGACACGACAUAAUUUAUUAUGAUAUCGUAUUUUUCUUUUAUUGAAGGUAUC
This is a long non-coding RNA of Centruroides sculpturatus (bark scorpion), 293 nucleotides long. RefSeq lists it as uncharacterized. NCBI's taxonomy places the organism in Eukaryota, Metazoa, Arthropoda, Arachnida, Scorpiones, Buthidae. The record is from RefSeq and is a predicted model, not a curated record. The transcript is spliced from 3 exons.